AGGGUUUUACCAAAUUAGCAAUGAUUCAGCUGUUUCGUUUACCUUGAAACUGGCUGUUUUAUUUUACCAGUAUUAAAAUCAAACCUUCCAGUUCCAAAACAUAUUGAAAUGAGGACAGAAUUAGGAACAUGUAAUGUUUCCUAAAUAGUAAAGUGAGAGGUAUGGGUCUUGUCUGCAUGUGAUGUCUGAGAGGCAGUGAGAGUGCACUUUCACACAUUACAGAGGAACUGUGACUCGCUUUCUAGCUUUGCAAUGUGAAUAAGAACUCACACAUCUCCCAAUAUGGAGAAAGAAUAUUUUUGCACCUGAAGUGUAUUUUUGUAUAACUUUUACUCUGGUUUUAUGCUGUUUCAUUGGUAUGACUGAGUGCUAAAGCCACAAAUCAUGAGAGAGAGAGAGAGAGAGAGAGAGAGAGAUGGAAAAGGGAAAGAAGAAAAAUAAGGCUGAAGGCAUGGGUGGAGAUGGAAAAGCCUGUUGAUUCUGUUUCUUUACAUUUUACAGUCUUAAGUUCUUAGCAUUUCUGCAUCAGUUUGUGGGCAUUUAUAAAAGUCCUCAUGAAAACUGAUCAGCAUUUUAAGGUGCAUUUCUUUUAAUACACAUAUUUUUGCAGCAAAUUUGCUUUAUAUAUACAUUUUUGCCCUAAUAGGUUGCAUUUUGCAUGCUAUUUUCACUGGUAAAAGCAUUGCUAUGCACAAUCUCCUAAUACAUUUUUGUACACCUUUUUUUGGUUAAAUUGUAUAAUGAAAUACCAAUAAAUUUGUAUUUUGAAGAAUGGAACUGUGUUUCAGUUUGCAUAUUGUUUCUGGAAUUGCAAGUUAAGUAGGUUCACAUUAAAAUGCGAAAUGAGCCAAUUCCCCAUCCCUAGCAAGGAUGGUGUUGAAUUUGGACCCCUCUUUUCAAACAGCAUAGAAUAUUUUGGAAACUGAUUCACUUAGGACUUCUAAAUACAAUACAUUUUGGAAAUGUGCCUUUUUGAAGAAAUGAAAGUUGGUUGUAGUAAGUAGCAGGUUCAUAACCUGUUAUGAAACAAUCAUUGGAUAGUGAAUGGAAAUUUUAUAAAAUCAUAUGCAUUUCCUAACACUCAGAACACUUAACAAGACUGUAAAGAACAUACUAAAUUAUUAGACUGAAAUGCAGGAUGUAUCUGAGAGAGAGAUUUGUUACAGUUCAGUCUAUUUUACUUGUGUGGUUGAGGAUGCUUUGCAGCUUUUUUUCUCCCAUCCUGAAAUCAAUCAACACUUUUUUUUCAGAGUCCUAAAAUACACCACCACCCUUUUGGAGCCAAAGUUGAGAAAACUGAGAAUGUUCAGUUCAACCUCCUAUGUCUACCCGACUUUUCCUGAGUCUUUGUUAAACGUUUGUCAUUCCCUUUUUCCCCCAGUCGAAAACUCAUUGGCAGCCCUCAGGGCAGGACUGAAUCACUUUGACAUUCACUGCAGUGUUUAGCAUAUAACUGGCACUAACAAAGGCUUUAAGAAGUAGUUGUUCUUGAUGUAGCACCACCACAAUUGCUAUUGCAUGGCGAGGCUCCGGGCCCCGCAAUUCCCCUCAGAAAUAAACACACAGACACAAACAUGUUGGGUUAAUGGGAUAGAUUAGGCCACAACUUUAUUGGUUACAGAUGUGAGUGGUUUGGCUUAGGCAUUUGGGUGAAGCCGACAGUCCAAAGUCCAUUUUGGGUGCCUAAUCCGGCCCGCCGAUUGGUUUAAUCUGGUUUAAUCCAGUGGCAGUUUAUUUCCUGGUGUAAUAAUAACCAACUUUGGGGUAAGAUCAUAAACAAAAGCUCAACAACUUCAAUCCUAAAAAAGGUUAACAACUGUGGUCGGCCCUCAUGGCCCUUCACUUCAUCAAAUCUGGCCCUCUUUGAAAAAAGUUUGGACACCACUGCAAGGGUCAACCACCGAUAGGGGGAGCCCUAUGAUAUACAUCAAUUAAGAGCACCUCCAGGGUCAACGAUGGGGUCGUGGCAUGGCCCUAGCCCACACCCAGGCUUUGGACAGGAUCCACACCCCUGGACCCCUUUAAAGGAUACCCUUAAUGAGGAGGAGCAGGCGGAGGCAACCACAAUUGCUGCUACUAAUUUCCUGCAGGCUGCUGCACAAGCAUCUUCACCAGUCAACUCAUGGAUUUGUGCCUAUCUGUAAUGAUAGUGAAUGCAUUAUACUGCUCAUGUACAUACUAUUACCAAAUCUCUAUGGUCCUGGGAAAUAGGUUUAAAGUUAAACUUGAAUUAUUGUAGAUAGCCACAAGUCUGAAGCAAGACUUUGCAGUACCUGCUUGCCCAAGAUACGUAUGUCUGAUUUGUAUGUGACUUCCCCCAAAUUACAAGGACGUGUCAUUUUUCUGACUUUUUCCUCUCUCAGUGCAUAUUAAAACACAUGUAAGGAAACAGCAGUGGAUCAAGGGCUAGAGUCAGAAUACUGUAGUAGAUGUGAGGUUGACUGUUAAUAUGUUUAGCCUUGACAAUACUACUUGAAUUUUCAGGGCCCUGGUGUCAUUAUGCUUUGUUCUGAUGCAUGGGUAGGCAAACUAAGGCCCGGAGGCCAGAUCUGGCCCAAUCGCCUUCUAAAUCCAGCCCGCGGACGGUCUGGGAAUCAGCAUGUUUUUAUAUGAGUAGAACGUGUCCUUUUAUUUAAAAUGCAUCUCUGGGUUAUUUGUGUGGCAUAGGAAUUUGUUCUUUUUUUCUUCUCCUCCAAAAUAUAGUCCGGCCCCCCACAAGGUCUGAGGGACAGUGGACCGGCCCCCUGCUGAAAAAGUUUGCUGACCCUUGUUCUAAUGCCUGUGUACCACAACAAUUAAAACCAACUUACAGGAAUCAAAAGCAGCUUUUAGGAAGAGGACCAUGAUUUGACUAACGUUGGAGAGAGUUGAGGGGGUGGGGUUUUUAGAUUUCAUACAAGGCCUCCAUAUCUUUCCCUCUGUAAUCAAGCUGUGAUUGGACACGUCACUGCCUUUUCAUCAAGGUAGCUUUUAAAAUAAGAACUGCAGAAAGAAUUUAGAAUGUAUCAAAUCUAUGACUAUCCUUAAAUAGGAUCUUCAUAAGUGGGUUAUUAUACAUAUGGAACAGUAUAUCUUUUUCAGCUAUUUAAUUCUAAUUCUAUGUGAAGUUAUUCAAAAAAAAUGGGGGCACAAUUGGAAAGCCUGAUGUCUUUAAAAGAUGAAUCUGCUGUAGCUUUUUAUUUAUUCAUCCAUUCUGCAAAGGCAUGUGCUUCAUCACAGAGGUAACCUCUGUGGAGAUGACCACUGGGCAAAGUGACCUUGUGGAACAAAAGUGAUUGACUGUAUAAUGAAGAGAUAUAGAUGGAAGCCAAAAGGCAUCAGUUCAAUACUUGGCUGUACACUGUUUGAUGCUGCUUAUCUGUGUGGCAUAUGUAGAAGAAACAUAGAUGGUAUCAUGGAGAUCAAUAAAUUCAGAUCCAGAGCAGAAGAUGGCCAUGGUGCACUCACACGCAUACAGAGGCUGUGUAUACACUUCCACCUAGAGGUCUCCCAUUGCUGGUUUGGGAAGUGCUGUACACAUGGCAUUAGCCACAAUCCAUAUCUAUCCUGUACCUUCUCUGUAAUUUCUUGUGAAAUACUGUAUGUUGGUGCAUUUUCCUCCAAACUAGCUUCAAUAUGAAUUGAGAUAAAGAAUCACCUAGCUGUGUUUUAAGCUGGUGAUAUUUACACCCCAAAGUUUCAAUUUGAACUGGGCUUGGAAAAUAAAGCAAUUCUCUUUUUAAAAUGAAAUUAGCUAUUACUUUCUGAGCCCAGUUCAGAUCUCUAUUAAUUUCUGAUGUCAGCCUCGGAAGCAGAUUGGGUCUGCCUUUCUCUCCCCAGUAACCCUCCAUCACUCUUGCUUGGCUGCUGUGGUGGCAUCAGCGGCUCAGAAGGAGGGAGGGAGGAUUCUUUCCAUUCUGCUUCUCUCCCCCCUUCCUCUACUUCUCAUCCAUCCUCUCUCAGUUCUUCUGGGAAUGGUCCAGCUCAGAACACUGGCUCACCUUACAAGUACAAAAAAUUCAGAUUCCAAACCAGACCAUUGCUGAAUUUAGUGACAUCUAGUGUAUUUCUACUGAGUGCCCCCCCCCCAUUUUCUCUAUUGAAUUUGCAGACUGCCCUUUUUGCCUCGGUUUUCAAAUGUUUCAGUAGUUGAACAGUCUUUCAGAACAGAGUAUGUUCAAAAACCGAGGUACCACUGUACUCCUUUUCAUGAUAAUACAUUGUUUUCCCCACUAUGGAUAGCAAAGCCAGCCCUGUGGAGAGGUGUUGAUUCACACAUGACCUACUGGGGCUACUUUCUCACCAACAUAAACAUGUCAACCUGAAACAGCAUUUUAAGGGCCUAGUUAGAAUUUUACCCUUCUGGCUAGCUGCCAGGAUUUGAGGAUCCAACUGGCAAGAAGGAAAAAAUUCAGCCAGGCUUUUAAAUUUUUUAAUUUAGUGCAAAUGCAUGAGAUCUUCUAUAAUACACAAGCAUCGCACAGGAGUAUAGUGUACUCUUUCUGUACGCUAGGCAAAUGCCUGCACAUGUAUACGAGUUAAUACACCUUAAUACACCUCCAAUACACCUCUAAUGGCUUAACUGCCAUUAGAGGUGUAUUGGAAUAGCUGGCAACAUUUUGCAAGGUUCAUGAAAUAAGCUGGCAUGUGUUGGUUUAUUUCUUACAUUUAUAUCACACCUUGCCUCCCAGGAGCUCCAGGCAUAGUAAAUAGGUUCCUACCCUCCAUUUUAUCUUCACAAGAACCAUAUGAGGUAAAUAAGACAGAGAGGCAGUGACAGGCCCAAAGUGCAUAUAUUGUCCCUGGCAGCCACUACUGUAAACGUAGACUGCUCAGAGUACUGGACAGCCUAAUACUCUCACCCUCAGAGAAAUGCUUAUUUGCUCUUUUCAUCCCAGUGUACCUCUCAGUCAGCAAUAGCCAACCUAAGCAGGCUUGGAAGGCCAGAUUCCACUGCAUGUCCAGAGAGUCUCUACAGAUGAGCCAUUGUUCUCUUUGCUAAGGAAAGGUAAUCUGUGCAUAAUCAAUGGUGAUAUUUUUCCUUUGUUCCAUUUAAAGUUGGUUCUCUUUGGAAUAAAGAGGCUCUGCACAAGCUCAGCCUGAGGUGCCAGACAUUUCAAAACAAAAAUUGGUAACUUUGCACCUACUCUUAGAAUUAGCAGUCAUAUUACUCCUAUACACUACCCCCAUAAACUUAUAAAACUGAUAUGAGAUGGUGUUUGUUUAUGAGAAUGGUCACCUAGAAGACACUGUGGUUCAGAACCUCCUAAUUUUGCCUUCCUUUGCAACCUUCUUUAUGACUUGCAACUUCACAGGCACCAGGAGAUGGAAGCCCUAUCUAGAAAUGACAGCACACAAUUGGGGCUCUUUCUUCUGCUGUCACAGAUUGAAGGUUGUGAUGUAAUACAAGGGGCUAUAUCUACACUUACAGCCUUACCCAAUGUGGCCCUCCAAGCAUGACUGUCUGGCCCUUGGGUUCUUCCCCAGGCCACGCACCUGAGUCCUGCCCAACACCUCACCAACUUUCAUUCGUAGCAUCCUUGAGUGUUUUGUGCCUGGUUGGAAUGUGUACCUUGACCUUUGAUAAUGCCUUGAGAGUUUGUGCAGAAACUAGCAUACUGUGCAAAGGUAAAGAAUCACUCUCAUUGCUUAGCCCACUUUUGCCUCUUGCCCCACCCACCACUGGCAUGUGCCCUCCCCACCACAGGUUGCCCAAAACCGAAUGCACCCCUUGGGAUGAAGGAGGUCCCCCCCCCGCCCCCGAGUUAGAGGAUCUGGAAGAAUGUGGCUACUUUUUGUGAAAGCUGGCACAGAAAAGUAGAGUUUGCUUGCCAGUCACCUUUGUGUAUAGGAGCUUUUAAAAGGGGUGGGGGUAUGAUGCUCUAAUUUUCUGACAGGAGCACAGAGGCUGUUUAAUGAUGGCCAUCCUCUUUUCCAGCUCUCAGUACAAAGGAGGUGAUUGUGGCUUCACGGCCCCUGCCUUGACAUGAUUAGAAGAAUACGCAGCAGGAAAAGGGGCAACAAUGGGGAAAGAAAAGACAGUUUCUAAAAUAGUUGAACUGAAGUAGUUUCUUUGGUGGCCUGAACUUUGGAUUAGAAAGGGCACUGCUGAUGGCAGGCUUGCAGUCUUCCCUGAGAAAAUAGUGUGGGAAGAGAGCAGCUUCAGCUGAAACGAUUUAUUUUAUAUAUUUCCUCCUGCCGUUUCAGAAGGGGCUGCAUACAGCUGCUUGCUCUUGUACUUUUUAUUUUAAUGUUUUAAAAAAGCUUCCUUUGGGGAUCCACUGUUUAGAACUCCCAACUGGGCCUUUAAAACACACAAUUAAAAGGCUGAAAGCGCUGGUGAACAAGAACUACCAACUGUCCAAUGUUUAUGUAC
Molecule: non-coding RNA, 6355 nt
Organism: Podarcis lilfordi (Lilford's wall lizard)
Lineage: Eukaryota; Metazoa; Chordata; Lepidosauria; Squamata; Lacertidae
Source: the annotation of a GenBank genome assembly